GCUUAGGGAAGCCGCACUGCUCAGGUUCCAAUCUGGGUUCCACUGCAUAUGAGCCCUGUAUCUCUGAGCAAGUUAAUUAACCUCUCUUAGCUUCAGUUUCCUUAUCUGAGAAGUGAGGAUAAUAAUACUUACCUCAUAGGGUUAUUGGGAGCUUUA
Molecule: small nucleolar RNA, 156 nt
Organism: Chlorocebus sabaeus (green monkey)
Lineage: Eukaryota; Metazoa; Chordata; Mammalia; Primates; Cercopithecidae
Source: Ensembl